CCCUUAGAUGUUCUGGGCCGCACGCGCGCUACACUGAUUCAUGCAACGAGUUUUGUCCUUGGCUGAAAGGCCUGGGUAAUCUUUGAACGUGAAUCGUGCUGGGGAUAGAUGAUUGCAAUUAUUCAUCUUCAACGAGGAAUUCCUAGUAAACGCAAGUCAUCAGCUUGCAUUGAUUACGUCCCUGCCCUUUGUACACACCGCCCGUCGCACCUACCGAUUGAAUGGUCCGGUGAAAUCUUCGGAUCUGAGAGAUGUUGGAUUAAUUUCUGACGCCUUUUGGAAAAGUCGCUUAAACCUUAUCAUUUAGAGGAAGGUGAANUCGUANCA
Molecule: ribosomal RNA, 327 nt
Filed under: uncultured eukaryote
Lineage: Eukaryota
Description: partial 18S ribosomal RNA
Rfam family: Eukaryotic small subunit ribosomal RNA
Source: RNAcentral